GCGGCGUGCUUAACACAUGCAAGUCGAACGGAAAGGCCCUGCUUUUGUGGGGUGCUCGAGUGGCGAACGGGUGAGUAACACGUGAGUAACCUGCCCUUGACUUUGGGAUAACUUCAGGAAACUGGGGCUAAUACCGGAUAGGAGCUCCUGCUGCAUGGUGGGGGUUGGAAAGUUUCGGCGGUUGGGGAUGGACUCGCGGCUUAUCAGCUUGUUGGUGGGGUAGUGGCUUACCAAGGCUUUGACGGGUAGCCGGCCUGAGAGGGUGACCGGCCACAUUGGGACUGAGAUACGGCCCAGACUCCUACGGGAGGCAGCAGUGGGGAAUAUUGCACAAUGGGCGGAAGCCUGAUGCAGCAACGCCGCGUGCGGGAUGACGGCCUUCGGGUUGUAAACCGCUUUCGCCUGUGACGAAGCGUGAGUGACGGUAAUGGGUAAAGAAGCACCGGCUAACUACGUGCCAGCAGCCGCGGUGAUACGUAGGGUGCGAGCGUUGUCCGGAUUUAUUGGGCGUAAAGGGCUCGUAGGUGGUUGAUCGCGUCGGAAGUGUAAUCUUGGGGCUUAACCCUGAGCGUGCUUUCGAUACGGGUUGACUUGAGGAAGGUAGGGGAGAAUGGAAUUCCUGGUGGAGCGGUGGAAUGCGCAGAUAUCAGGAGGAACACCAGUGGCGAAGGCGGUUCUCUGGGCCUUUCCUGACGCUGAGGAGCGAAAGCGUGGGGAGCGAACAGGCUUAGAUACCCUGGUAGUCCACGCUGUAAACGGUGGGUACUAGGUGUGGGGUCCAUUCCACGGGUUCCGUGCCGUAGCUAACGCUUUAAGUACCCCGCCUGGGGAGUACGGCCGCAAGGCUAAAACUCAAAGGAAUUGACGGGGCCCCGCACAAGCGGCGGAGCAUGCGGAUUAAUUCGAUGCAACGCGUAGAACCUUACCUGGGUUUGACAUGGAUCGGGAGCGCUCAGAGAUGGGUGUGCCUCUUUUGGGGUCGGUUCACAGGUGGUGCAUGGCUGUCGUCAGCUCGUGUCGUGAGAUGUUGGGUUAAGUCCCGCAACGAGCGCAACCCUUGUUCACUGUUGCCAGCACGUUAUGGUGGGGACUCAGUGGAGACCGCCGGGGUCAACUCGGAGGAAGGUGGGGAUGACGUCAAGUCAUCAUGCCCCUUAUGUCCAGGGCUUCACGCAUGCUACAAUGGCUGGUACAGAGAGUGGCGAGCCUGUGAGGGUGAGCGAAUCUCGGAAAGCCGGUCUCAGUUCGGAUUGGGGUCUGCAACUCGACCUCAUGAAGUCGGAGCCGCUAGUAAUCGCAGAUCAGCAACGCUGCGGUGAAUACGUUCCCGGGGCUUGUACACACCGCCCGUCAAGUCAUGAAAGUUGGUAACACCCGAAGCCGGUGGCCUAACCGUUGUGGGGGAGCCGUCGAAGGUGGGACUGGUGAUUAG
Molecule: ribosomal RNA, 1432 nt
Filed under: uncultured organism
Description: SSU rRNA
Rfam family: Bacterial small subunit ribosomal RNA
Source: RNAcentral